RNAcentral lists this ribosomal RNA (451 nucleotides) under uncultured bacterium. RNAcentral's name for it is "bacterial SSU rRNA". It matches the Rfam family "Bacterial small subunit ribosomal RNA", at positions 355 to 825 of the family's 1533-position model. The record is from RNAcentral.
UCAAGAAACUUCCACAAUGGGCGAAAGCCUGAUGGAGCGACGUCGCGUGAUGGACGAAGUGCUUCGGCACGUAAACAUCUUUUUAUGUGGGAUGAAAUUAUUGACAGUACCACAUGAAUAAGGGGCUCCUAACUCUGUGCCAGCAGGAGCGGUAAUACAGAGGCCCCAAGCGUUAUCCGGAAUCACUGGGCGUAAAGGGUGUCGAGGCGGUUGUAUUAGUCGUUCGUAAAAUCUACGAGCUUAACUUGUAGGCGGCGAACGAAACGGUACGACUUGAGGUUUGGAGAGGUGCGUGGAACUCACGGUGUAGGGGUGAAAUCCGUUGAUAUCGUGGGGAACACCAAAGGCGAAGGCAGCGCACUGGCCAAAAUCUGACGCUCACACACGAAAGCUAGGGUAGCGAAGAGGAUUAGAUACCCAUGUAGUCCCUGAGCGGGCUGGCAAGGCGCAU